AGUUCAGAAACUUGUGCAGUUCAGAGCUUAAGAACAUGAGAUAGAAGAGAAGAUCGAUGGACUCAUUCAGGUGGAUUCAAAUGUGGUUAUCUCUGAUUCUGCUGCUUCACAUCACAGUAGCUGUUCAGACCAAACCCUUUGCUGUCACACCUGGAGUUCAGGUCAACCUGCCUUGUAAAAAUGUGACCGAUACUAAGGACAAAUGCAAAAGUACAACCUGGACCUACACUCAUUCAGACAAAUCAAUAACACUGUUUAAAAAGGGAAAGAUUCAUAAAGAUGCCAGAGUUAAAUCAGACAGACUGACACUUGAACCUGACUGCUCUCUGGUUAUAAAGACGGUCACAGCUGAGGAUGAUGGUCGUUACAGCUGCAGACACUUCAGAUCAGGAGAAAGACACGGUGAAGACACUGAUUAUGAUCUGACUGUUGUCACGGGCGAGGCCACAAAACCAAUCAGAGCCAAAGCAACGACAACACCAACAAGUAAAUCAACCAGAUCUACAGCAGCAGCAGCAGAAAGCACACCAUCAGAGACAACCACAGCAGCAUCUACGAUCACUGAUCUAAAACAAGCUUGGUGGUGGUUCGUCAUCGUGGCCGCUGGUGUAGCAGCGCUCAUAAUAACUGUUGUUGCGCUCGUCAGAUGGAGGAGAACUGAAGGUGAGAACGUUCACAGGUUAAACUUUGUGCCAGGAUUUUCACUGCAGAAGCUCACAGUGACACAUUUUGUCUUUUCAGGGAAUAAAACACAGAUGGAAGAAAACACUGUGAGUUUACAUCAUACAAACUAUAUACCAGCUGUUAAAUGUGACUCCUGGAAUUACACCAGUCGAGCUGAAAUGAAGUGGGGAGAUAAAAGAGCGAGUCAUUUUAGAACUACGUGUUACUGAGCAGCCAUGUUGACUCCUCUGUGCAGGCUGAUCCUGAAGAUGGUGUCCACAGUGAAGAUCAGGUGAGCUGGUGAUGAAUGAAAACACUUCAGGGGUCAGAAACACGGGAAAGAUUCUUUAUUCUACCUUUAAAGUUCACAGGCUUCAUUUAUAAAAAAUGUUACACUCAUUAUUCUCACUAUUUCCAACAGUGUGCUCAUCUUCAAUUCAUAAAAAAGCUGGGCAUAGAGAACUGUCCACUUUUCCACACCCUCUCAGUGUUUCCCUCUGGUGUUGCUGUUGCUGGCGUUUUCACAAAUACAGCGGUAGCAGCCUGGCUCCCACUGGCUACUGUCCAACUAAAAAACAAGAGAGAAAAUCCUGAUUGGACCUAGAAAGCCUGAUCUCAGUGCCGUGAAAAGACAGAGUAAGACCCCGUUUACACGAGGACGCUUGCGGGUAAAAACGACAAAUUAUUUUAUCAGAAGUGCCUUUUGUUUAUACGGUGACGGCAUUUUUGGGGCUUGAAAACGCAAAAAUCUGAAACCACCCUCCAGAGUGGAAAAGUUGAAUACGCUUCACCGCAGCGUUUCCGUGAACACUGGCAAAACGCAAAACUCUGCUCAGAUCUGCUCACGCCGCGUACACGUUUACGUCACAUACAUGCGCCAGUACAGGGAAAUAGACAAACAUGUCGGAUUAUUUCCAUGCAUCAG
This is a long non-coding RNA of Sparus aurata (gilthead seabream), 1588 nucleotides long. The record is from Ensembl. NCBI's taxonomy places the organism in Eukaryota, Metazoa, Chordata, Actinopteri, Spariformes, Sparidae.